CCCCUGUUAGGUUCUAGGCUCCUGAGAGCAUCUUGGGAAGAAUUCUCCAAAUUCCCAGAUCAGGCUCUUUAUUUUUAUUUAUUUAUUUAUGUAAAACUUUUAGCUUUCAAAACACAUGCACAGAUAAUCUUCAGCAUUCACCCUUGCAAAACCUUGUGUCCCCCAAUUUUUUUCUCCCUUCCUUCCUCCCAUUUUCUCUCCAAGAUGUCAAAUAAUCUUAAACCGUGCGAUUCUUCCAUACAGAUCUCCACAGUUAUCUUGCUGCACAAGAAAAAUCUAAUCAAAAAGGAAAAAAAAUGAGAAAGGAAACAAAAUGCAAACAAACGACCACAAAAAGUGAAAAUCCUAUGUUGUGUGAUCCACCCUCAGUCCCCAGUCCCUCUCUGGGGGCCGAUGGUCUCUCCAUCACGACCAUUGGGACUGGCCUGAAUCCCCUCGCUGUUGACAAGAACCACGUCCACCAGAAUUGAUCAUUGCACAGUCUUCUUGUUGCCGUGUACGGUGAUCCCCUGGUCCUGCUCACUUCCCUCAGCCUCAGUUCCUGUGAGUCUCUCUGGCCUCUCUGAAUCCUCCCGCUGGUCGUUUCCUACAGAACAAUAAUAUUCCCUCACAUCCCUAUCCCCUUACUCAUUGUGCCGUCCUCCCUGACGGCGUCCCCUCAGUGUCCUCCCUUGGCCACCACACGAGGGGCCGCCAAGCUUCACACGUGUGGGUCCUUUUCUUUCUUACAAUCUCUUUGGGACGCCGUAGGGAGGUGACUGAAUCACAGUCUGAUGGCCCCUUGGGCGGAGUCCCAGAGUGCUCCCCAGAACGGCUGCCUCGGCUCACACUCCUCCUCUUCUGCCUUUUUAAAGCAUGGACUUAGAACCUGAUGAAGACCGAGGGGACUUGAUUAGUCGUUGCAUCCAAGCCUUCCUUUUUAAAGGGCAGGAAAUAACGGUCCUGGGGCUUGUCCAAAGUCAUGCAGGUAAUAAGCGUGGGAUUUGAACCCAGGACCUCUGAUUCCAAAUCUGUUUCUCUUUCCACUCUAUGCAUGGCCUUGUCCCUUUGGAAAUAGGGAUGAGUGUCCUGAACUAGGUCUGCCCUCUUUUGGGGCCAUUUGUUACCAGGAACAAGCCUUCACAAGGGGGUCCCACAGCUGGCUGCUGGGCUUUGGUUAAGGGAAGUUAUCGGCCAGUGAGUUAGGGAUGAGGAGGUGACCAGAGUUAAAAUCAGUCUGGGAACAAGAUCAGGGGGUUGGCCUGUGACUAGGAGGUCAGUCUGUGACUAGGGUAGGAGGUCAGUCUGUGAAUAACAUUAGAGGUCAGUCUGACUAGAGUUGGAGGUCAGUCUGUGACUAGGAUAGGAGGUCAGUCUGUGACUAGGAUAGGAGGUCAGUCUGUGACUAGGGUUGGAGGUCAGUCUGUGACUAGGGUCGGAGGUCAGUCUGUGAUUAGGCUUGGAGGUCAGUCUGUGACUAGGGCUGGAGGUCAGUCUGUGAAUAAGGUUAGAGGUCAGUCUGUGACUAAGGUUGGAGGUCAGUCUGUGACUAGAGUUGGAGGUCAGUCUGUGACUAGGGUCAGAGGUCAGUCUGUGACUAGGCUUGGAGGUCAGUCUGUGACUAGGGCUGGAGGUCAGUCUGUGAAUAAGGUUAGAGGUCAGUCUGUGACUAAGGUUGGAGGUCAGUCUGUGACUAGAGUUGGAGGUCAGUCUGUGACUAGGGUCAGAGGUCAGUCUGUGACUAGAGUUGGAGGUCAGCCUGUGACUAGGGUUGGAGGUCAGUCUGUGACUAGGGUCAGAGGUCAGUCUGUGACUAGGGUUGGAGGUCAGUCUGUGACUAGAGUUGGAGGUCAGCCUGUGACUAGAGUCAGAGGUCAGCCUUGACUAGGGUUGGAGGUCAGUCUGUGGCCAGGCCUGGUACACAGUCUGUUACUGAGGUUAAAAUUCUGAGUCUUGGUUAGCAGCUCGCUAGUAAUUCUGACUAAGAGUCAGAUGUGGCUGGGUUCGUGGGGUCGGCGUGCACUGGUCAUCGGGGCGUCCGUUUGGGGAGAUCCCAAGCCGACGUCCGGCUGCAGGCGGCCCGGGAUCCCGGGUCAGGGCCUGGUGGUGGGGCCCUCAGGCCGGCUCCGUGGCCCCGCUCCCGGGAGCUGCACGUGGCCGGGGGAGGCCCCUCGCUGGGCUGCUGGCAGGGCCGGCCGACAUUCCUCGUGACUGAUUGUGCGCGGCCGACGGCUCGGGAGCCAAGGCCCGGACAGGUUUUUCGCGUUAGGGAGCUGGAAGCCUCUCUGGGCAGGGCCUGCACAGGCGGCUGCAGCUCGGGGCCUUGGCUGUGCGUGAGCUCAUCUUACCCUUGGCAGCCCUCGGACCUC
Long non-coding RNA from Antechinus flavipes (yellow-footed antechinus), 2348 nucleotides. RefSeq lists it as uncharacterized. Lineage: Eukaryota; Metazoa; Chordata; Mammalia; Dasyuromorphia; Dasyuridae. The record is from RefSeq and is a predicted model, not a curated record. The transcript has 3 exons.